UAUUUAACAUAGGGGAGCCUCUGGCUGAGAUAAAGCAUCUGCUUUGACCCUUAAAACCUGAUCUAGAUAAUACUAGCGAAGGGAAGUGUGAAUUAGUAUUUA
RNAcentral lists this non-coding RNA (102 nucleotides) under Halanaerobium praevalens. RNAcentral's name for it is "TPP sequence". It matches the Rfam family "TPP riboswitch aptamer (THI element)". Rfam says of the family: Vitamin B(1) in its active form thiamin pyrophosphate (TPP) is an essential coenzyme that is synthesised by coupling of pyrimidine and thiazole moieties in bacteria. The previously detected thiamin-regulatory element, thi box was extended, resulting in a new, highly conserved RNA secondary structure, the THI element, which is widely distributed in eubacteria and also occurs in some archaea. RNAcentral also lists the same sequence under 1 other name. Lineage: Bacteria; Bacillati; Bacillota; Clostridia; Halanaerobiales; Halanaerobiaceae. The record is from RNAcentral.